AACAUAUGAUGACAACGUUUCGGUCCCAAAUGAGCAUCGGUGAUUAUCGUUGAGAUCCCCUGAUGUU
Molecule: small nucleolar RNA, 67 nt
Filed under: Lepisosteus oculatus (spotted gar)
Lineage: Eukaryota; Metazoa; Chordata; Actinopteri; Semionotiformes; Lepisosteidae
Description: Small nucleolar RNA SNORD73
Rfam family: Small nucleolar RNA SNORD73
About the family: U73 is a member of the C/D class of snoRNA which contain the C (UGAUGA) and D (CUGA) box motifs.
Source: Rfam by way of RNAcentral